GCUGUCGUCAGCUCGUGUCGUGAGAUGUUGGGUUAAGUCCCGUAACGAGCGCAACCCUUGUCCUUAGUUACCAGCACCUCGGGUGGGCACUCUAAGGAGACUGCCGGUGACAAACCGGAGGAAGGUGGGGAUGACGUCAAGUCAUCAUGGCCCUUACGGCCAGGGCUACACACGUGCUACAAUGGUCGGUACAAAGGGUUGCCAAGCCGCGAGGUGGAGCUAAUCCCAUAAAACCGAUCGUAGUCCGGAUCGCAGUCUGCAACUCGACUGCGUGAAGUCGGAAUCGCUAGUAAUCGUGAAUCAGAAUGUCACGGUGAAUACGUUCCCGGGCCUUGUACACACCGCCCGUCACACCAUGGGAGUGGGUUGCUCCAGAAGUAGCUAGUCUAACCGCAAGGGGGACGGUUACCACGGAGUGAUUCAUGACUGGGGUGAAGUCGUAACAAGGUAGCCGUAGGGGAACCUGCGGCUGGA
RNAcentral lists this ribosomal RNA (474 nucleotides) under Pseudomonas aeruginosa. RNAcentral describes it as "bacterial SSU rRNA". It matches the Rfam family "Bacterial small subunit ribosomal RNA", at positions 1048 to 1522 of the family's 1533-position model. Lineage: Bacteria; Pseudomonadati; Pseudomonadota; Gammaproteobacteria; Pseudomonadales; Pseudomonadaceae. The record is from RNAcentral.